Long non-coding RNA from Phasianus colchicus (ring-necked pheasant), 3334 nucleotides. RefSeq lists it as uncharacterized. Lineage: Eukaryota; Metazoa; Chordata; Aves; Galliformes; Phasianidae. The record is from RefSeq and is a predicted model, not a curated record.
GCUGGGUUUGUUCAGCUUGGAGAAGAGAAGGCUGCGAGGAGACUUCACUGUGGCCUUCCAGGACCUGAAGGGAGCUUGUGAGCAGGAAGGGGACUGAUUUUUUACGUGGUCUGAUAGAAAUAGGACAAGUGGAAAUAGUUUUAAACUAAAAGUGGAGAUUCAGAUUAGAUGUUAGGAGCAAAUUCUUUACUCAGAGGGCGGUGAGGCCCCAGCACUGCUGCCCAGAGCUGUGGGUGCCCCAUCCCUUGAGGUGCUCAAGACCACAGAUGGACCAUGAGCAACCUGAGCUGUUGGGGGGCACCCAGCCAUGGCAGGGGAGUCAGAAUGGAUGAUCUUUAUGGUCCCUUCCAACCCAAGCCAUUCUGUGAUUCUCUGUUCUUUUCCUUAAACUUUUCCAGCUGAGCUGCACAUGAUCCAACCAAUCACUGGGUAAUGCUGGAAGAGAAGAAAAGCAAAAUUUCUAACAGAGAGAACUGGUCCCAUACCAAAGAGGUGCCCUUGAGAGUGUCAGUGACGUAGCUAACAGCACCAACAAAGAGCUACCAGAAUAGCUGAAACAAUGGGAGAAAAUAAAUUGGUACCGCUUUAUAACCUUCUAUCCACAGGAAGGGCUUGUGCAGCAAAUACUGCAUUAGGCAAAGAACAGCAAAUCGUUAAGCCCUGAAAACGCACAGGCUCACUUGAGUGUGGUUUUCAAUUAAAUGAUACAUCAUCUUUGUUGCCCAGGAAGCAGAGAUUCCUUAAGGGCAGCAGAGAACCCAGCAGACUAAAAAGCCAUUAAGAUGCCCAGCAUCAUUUUCCAUCCCUGCUGGAUGCUGACUGUGAUCCCAUUCAGCCCGUGCACCAGUGUGUUUCCAGCCCAUCCCCUCAGCACCACCGGCCCUACCUGCACGAGGGACCAUGAAUUGAGCUUCACAGACCACCAAAAAGGAUAAAUAUUUGUAUGAAGGCUGCAGUGAUGCACAGGUCACAGUGAACUGAUGGCUGCAGAAGCGGCACCGGCAUUGGGUGAUGCUCCCAUUGCAGCACUAUGUGUAAAAGGGACCCUGGCUGGGACUUCGUGACAUCAGUGGUGACAGCAGCAGGACGGUGACAUCGCAGACCUAGACAGGGAUUCUGCAGCAGGUGUGUGAGUAUGGCCAAAGAACUCACCUGGAUCUGAGCAAAAACUAGGAGCCAACGUCACCAGCAGACACCUCAAAUCCCAUCAACUCCUUCCUGAAAGCUUUCAUCUGCAGCACUGCUCAGACACCUCUGCAACAGGGCUCAAACAACAUCCCUCUCUGAACCUACCCAGAAAGGAGAGUGCUGUCGCUGCCGGCUCUGCCAUCACCCUCCUGUUCCCAAUGGUAACCAGAGGCUGCUUCUCCUGCAAACAUCUCACCAGAGAGAUGCUUUGUGAAGUGUUGCAACGCUUGAAAACCUUGUUAACAGCAGGAAAUCUAUUUAAAGUGGAAUGAAUAUGAUCAUUAAGGAAUAAAGAGGGAGUUUCAACACGGCAAAGACCUAGGGCUAGGGCGGGGAGGCAGUGGCUCCACUAGUGUAUUUACACUUUUACAUCUCGAAGUCCCAUCGCAGGAUAAUGGGAAAGGGAACUCCAGCAGAUCAAACUAACUUAAUACAAAGCCAAAAUGUCCAUUUGCCAGGGGAAAGAAUGAAAUUUAACACGGUAGGAAGGGGAAAAAAGAGAAAAGGAAAUGGAUGGGAGGUGCCAGGUGGGACGAAGGCAGUGCUCCCCACACACAGAAUUCUGGGGGCUACUUUGUCAGCCCCUAAAUUAGGGGAAAUCCAGAGCAUCUCAAUUACAAUCCACCUGGAGCCCUUCCUCCCCACAGCACACCCCACAAAUGGGAAUUCAGCCCUUCCCCUGGCUGGGCUGCAGCUGCCAUGCUGAUGUUCGGAGCUGUCUCAGCUCAAGCACACGUUGUCUGUUCUCAGUGCUUGGGGAUAUAGCUGGGGGAAAAAAGGGAAAAAAGCAGAGGCAGCCCACCCUACAAACUGAGCUUCAAGGUCACCCUGCCACAGCCUGGGUCUGUUCAGGUGCUGGAGAGAAAAAUAAAGAAAUCUCAAGAGCAGCAGGAGCUCCGGUUUUUUGUUUGCUUGCGAUAUGGCUGCCCCACUUCCAAUCAAAAAGUACCUGUUAUGUACAGAGGGAAAGGUGAGCUUUUUGUGGUAAAAAAUCCUGAAUUCACCUGUUUGUUAAUCUGACAAGUUCGCCAGCAUAGCUUAAUCAUUAACCAGAAGCAAUGUUCCCAGAGUUGGCUCCUCGAUGCUUAAGAGAUGUGUGGAGACUGAUGGUGACAAUGUGUGACACCAACACGAUGACACUGUCACAGCCAAGCCUAAUUCCUGCCACUGUCCCACCCCAUGGAGGCAGAGCCAAGCACAGGACCGCUUUCUGCUUUCCACUGCACUCCAGCCAAACUCAGGUCUCAGUCCAAAGCAAUUGCAGCUCACUCAGAGGGAGAAUUAUGGCACCAGCAAUAUAAAAGUCCAUCAGAUAAAAGCAGCCACAGUGAUGCAUGUCAUUUCUGCACUAGUUAGAGCCGACUGCCUGGUGCAAUUCACAGGAUUCCCACUCCGGGUCUACAGGAACAAGCAGGGGAGAAGCUGUGGACCCACAGCCAUACAGCAGCUGCAGACAGCCCAGCCUUUAACUGCCUCUUGCUUUUACCAUUCUGUUCAUUUCUAAAUAUAUUCUACUGUCUUUCCAAAUUACCAUUCCAUUACAACAAUUUUCCUUGAAGAUAUUGCUGGCUGUGGGCAAACCACAGGAGUGCUCAGGUUGUUACAUGCAUCAACUAGUUAAGUGCUACGAGGAUGCUGAGCGCACACUUCUUGCUCUCCAAGUUGCAUUAAUCCUCACCGUAACACACUCUGAUCUCCCAGGUUUGGGGCUUAUAGAAUCCUCAAGUUCUGGACUCACUUCACCUGAUCAGAAGCCACGAGCACCACAAGUCACCUCGCAAUGUAACCCUUGCACACCUCAUCUCACUCUUCAGCACAAACCCUCUGCGUACCACCCUGUCACCGCAGCAAUUAGCUAUUCCAUUUUGCAAAACAUAUUGAGAAAGCGCAGUUGAUUAGGGCAGUAAUUGCAUCUUUAUGAGCUUUUAAAGCAACUCUCGUAGCCAAGAACGCAAGCUAGACUGACUGCACAUCUCAUGUAUGGAAAAUAACCCAGGGAAAGCCAAGGACAGAGAGAAACGGUGACUUUUGCUUUCAGCAUUGUCAGUAAUUAAUUCCACAUGAAGAGGUGCUCCAGCACAAGCCACCCCCGUGACGAGUUGAAACCACUUUUUGCCAGAGGAAAGAAAGAAACAAAGACCUGAAA